RNAcentral lists this ribosomal RNA (379 nucleotides) under uncultured eukaryote. RNAcentral describes it as "partial 18S ribosomal RNA". It matches the Rfam family "Eukaryotic small subunit ribosomal RNA", at positions 592 to 976 of the family's 1831-position model. The record is from RNAcentral.
AAAUAGUGUGUGUUAAAUUUGUUGCGGUAAACAAGCUAGUACUUGGUUUUGUUGGGAACGACAGGUCCGCCCACCGGGUGUGUAUCUGGCUUGUUCUCGGCAUCUUCUUGGUGAACGUUGCUGUGCUUGACUGUGUGGAACGCUACCCAGGACUUUUACAUUGAGGGAUUUACAAUGUUUCAAGCCGGCAUAUGCCUUGAAUACAUUAGCAUGGAAUAAUAAGAUAGGACCUCGGUUCUAUUUUAUUUUUUUUCUAGAGCUGAGGUAAUGAUUAACAGGGAUAGUUGGGGGCAUUCGUAUGUAACUGUCAGAGGUGAAAUUCUUGGAUUUGUCACAGACAGACUACUGCGAAACCAUUUGCCAGUGAUGUUUUCAUUGA